This 97-nucleotide small nucleolar RNA is filed under the name Naumovozyma dairenensis CBS 421. Lineage: Eukaryota; Fungi; Ascomycota; Saccharomycetes; Saccharomycetales; Saccharomycetaceae. The record is from RNAcentral.
GAAAGUGACGAGAAAAACGCUGUGCACCAGUCUGAACUGGCACCUAACAAUGUACUCAGGUCGCCAUGAAGCAUCAAGUAUACCCAAAUUUCUGAUU